Regulatory RNA element from Variovorax paradoxus, 69 nucleotides. It matches the Rfam family "SAH (S-adenosyl-L-homocysteine) riboswitch aptamer". The record is from Rfam. NCBI's taxonomy places the organism in Bacteria, Pseudomonadati, Pseudomonadota, Betaproteobacteria, Burkholderiales, Comamonadaceae.
CGUUCCGAGGAGCGUUGCAGCGCCGCCAGGCGUGAGGCUCGGACCACAUCGCAACCACGCUCACCCGCU